GACGAACGCUGGCGGCGUGCCUAAUACAUGCAAGUUGAGCGCUGAAGGUUGGUACUUGUACCAACUGGAUGAGCAGCGAACGGGUGAGUAACGCGUGGGGAAUCCGCCUUUGAGCGGGGGACAACAUUUGGAAACGAAUGCUAAUACCGCAUAAAAACUUUAAACACAAGUUUUAAGUUUGAAAGAUGCAAUUGCAUCACUCAAAGAUGAUCCCGCGUUGUAUUAGCUAGUUGGCGAGGUAAAGGCUCACCAAGGCGAUGAUACAUAGCCGACCUGAGAGGGUGAUCGGCCACAUUGGGACUGAGACACGGCCCAAACUCCUACGGGAGGCAGCAGUAGGGAAUCUUCGGCAAUGGACGAAAGUCUGACCGAGCAACGCCGCGUGAGUGAAGAAGGUUUUCGGAUCGUAAAACUCUGUUGGUAGAGAAGAACGUUGGUGAGAGUGGAAAGCUCAUCAAGUGACGGUAACUACCCAGAAAGGGACGGCUAACUACGUG
This 497-nucleotide ribosomal RNA is filed under the name uncultured bacterium. Its description in RNAcentral is "partial 16S ribosomal RNA". It matches the Rfam family "Bacterial small subunit ribosomal RNA", at positions 28 to 507 of the family's 1533-position model. The record is from RNAcentral.